Molecule: long non-coding RNA, 1392 nt
Filed under: Homo sapiens (human)
Lineage: Eukaryota; Metazoa; Chordata; Mammalia; Primates; Hominidae
Description: long intergenic non-protein coding RNA 2182
Source: RNAcentral
GGACACCUGGGGCGUGGAGCCGGGGCACGGGGCAGCUGUCCCUCUGCAGCCACACACCACAGGGGAUGGGCGCCGGCAGACACGCCUGCUCGCUCCAGGGUAAGUGCAGUGUGUGGCGUCUGGGGUGGCUCUGGUGUUAAGGAGGUCAGAAGUGAAGUGUUUUCACGCAGGCUGGAUUCGAUGCGAUUGGGCCAUCCGGAUUGACGAUGGUGACGAUCGCGAUGCCUUCAGGCUCGCAACCGAGGGGGUGCACGCAGGGGAACGUGCCAUCCGGGAACAUCUUUCAGGCAAAACAAAGCAUUUUGCUUUCCAGUUGAUGAUAGGGAGUGCUGAACCCAAUGCCAAGAGCUCAAAGGCGAAUUCGUUUGGUGGGAAGAGUCCGCCUGCAUCUUUGAUCUGAUGUGGUUAGGGGCGUCCUCCCCAAUUAAUGAUUUCUAUUAGCUGCUGGCUUUGUCUUCUCUCCUUUUUGUGGCACGCUCCAGGUGACCGGCUUAUCUCUCAGCGCCCGGGUUGGGAUAUGCUGUGGACAGACUCAAUUAGCUAAACAUGUUGUUAAACGUGCAUCUCAUUACGCUUUUUUUUUUUUUUGAGAAAAGAAAAACAAAGUGUGGAGGCAGAAGGGCUGGGUGCCCCGGCCACCCAGGGGCAGGACGAGUUUGGGGCUUGCAAGUCCACAGCGAAUCUGAGGCAGGCACCGUCAAUAACAAAGUGCCUUUACGAUAUUUAUAAGAACUAGGCUCUCCUCAAUCCUUUCAUUUGAACACGUUUCAGAGCAGACCCCUUCCUGGCACUUCGGUGAGGUGUCUGUUUCCCAUUAUAAAGCUGGGCCAUGAAUGAAAGUGACAAUCGCAGCUUCCAAACAUAAACUUCCUGAAACUCCUUUAGAAGGUUCCUCCAUGACGUGUAGACAUAACCAGAAAGCCGUCACGCUGGGAGGUCGGCCGCGGGUGCGUCUUGGCUCCGUCAGGAUCCUGGUGAGGGUGGCAGGUCAGGAUUGUAAACUCCAGGAGGGGACUUAAGCGACGGAACAGGGAAGAAAAGUGGCUGAGCUUAGCGACAGGCCGGCCUCAGAAGUGACAUUCACCCCCCCACCCCCGCCCCCCGCCCAGUGUCCUUACGCUUUGUGCAGAAAUCUGGCGUGAUCUAAGAUAUUGGUGCAGAAUUCCCAUGUGCUGGUGAUUUAUCACACCUUCCAGUGUCCUGAGCAGGAACGGGACAGAGGGCGUCGGUGGCUUUUUGGAUAAAAACAGGCAGGGCCAUGCCAGGCCAGGCUUGGUGGCUCACGCCUGUAAUCCCAGCACUUUGGGAGGCCAAGGCGGGUGGAUCACCUGAGGUCAGAAGUUCGUAGAGCAGCCUGGCCAACAUGGUGAAACCCCAUCUCUACUAAAAAAA